Molecule: ribosomal RNA, 484 nt
Filed under: uncultured bacterium
Lineage: Bacteria
Description: partial 16S ribosomal RNA
Rfam family: Bacterial small subunit ribosomal RNA
Source: RNAcentral
AUUGAACGCUGGCGGCAGGCCUAACACAUGCAAGUCGAACGGAAACAGGGAGCUGGCUGCUGGUUUCCGCAGCAGACGGGUGCGGGAUGCCUAGGAAUCGGCCUGGUCGUGGGGGAUGAGGACCACAACCGGGCGCUGAUACCACAUCCGUAUAGCGUCAGAAGGUGAGAGAUGGUGGGCUCUCGCGCUCUCAGAUUAGGCUAGGUCGGAUUAGCUAGUUGGUGGGGUAAAGGCCCACCUAGGCGACGAUCCGUAACUGGUCUGAGAGGAUGAGCAGUCACACUGGAACUGAGACACGGUCCAGACUCCUACGGGAGGCAGCAGUGGGGAAUAUUGGACAAUGGGCGCAAGCCUGAUGCAGCCAUGCCGCGUGUGUGAAGAAGGCCUUCGGAUUGUAAAGUACUUUAAGCGGGGAGGAAGGGAAUUAAGUUAAUACCUUGCCGUAUUGACGUUACCAACAGAAGAAGCACCGGCUAACUUCGUG